RNAcentral lists this ribosomal RNA (256 nucleotides) under uncultured bacterium. RNAcentral describes it as "partial 16S ribosomal RNA". It matches the Rfam family "Bacterial small subunit ribosomal RNA", at positions 793 to 1055 of the family's 1533-position model. The record is from RNAcentral.
GUCCACACUGUAACGAUGAUUACUAGGUGUUGGAGGAUUGACCCUUCAGUGCCGCAGUUAACACAAUAAGUAAUCCACCUGGGAGUACGACCGCAAGGUUGAACUCAAAGGAAUUGACGGGGCCCGCACAAGCAGUGGAGUAUGUGGUUUAAUUCGACGCAACGCGAAGAACCUUACCAAGUCUUGACAUCCUGCGACGAUGCUGGAAACAGUAUUUCCUUUCGGGACGCAGAGACAGGUGGUGCAUGGUUGUCGU